Long non-coding RNA from Sceloporus undulatus (fence lizard), 864 nucleotides. RefSeq lists it as uncharacterized. The record is from RefSeq and is a predicted model, not a curated record. The transcript has 3 exons. Lineage: Eukaryota; Metazoa; Chordata; Lepidosauria; Squamata; Phrynosomatidae.
CAGAGAUAAACUCCAGAGGUGGAAAAGUGAAUAAAGUAGGCCGAGUUUGAUGGCUUGACGGUUGAAAGUCCCUUCAAGCAGCUUCUCAGAGAAAAAGGCGGGAAAAAUGUUUAUUUCUGAGGGUGAUUUCUAAAGAGCAAGUGUCUCUCCUCAGCUUCCUCUAAUUGCCAUCCCUCUAUUUGUAUUAAAACCAUUCCACACUUUUGGGGAGAAAUUGGUGACAGCAGCAAAAUUCAGUUUAGUGUGAAGUCAAAGGAAAAACCCACAGAAAACAAUUCGGUUUAGCUUCACUUGAAAGGCACUGACAUGUUUGAAUGGCUCAUUCCUUUCGACUUUGCAAAACUCAGGCACAUUUAAGAGGGGAAAGUAGCACAAAACCCUUUGGACCCAUCCUUUUUAAAUAAAGAUUUACCAAACCACUAACAUGAGUAAAAGAAGAAAGGCACAAAUUUCAGAAGAAAACAGGGAGAUCAGUGUUCCCAAAGCAAAAAAGACCCUUAGGAGGAAGAACCAAGAGGCAGGAGGGGGCAAUCUCACUAGUGGUUCUCCUUCAAAUGAAGCCAUAGCAGAAACAAAUCAAGAAUGCGAAGGAAGUUGCCCAGAGAAUUCUGAAACAGGCAGAAGGUAAUCAGUCUCCCAUCCAUGAAUCACUGAAAAAUGAUUUUGGCUGGUAAACGCUUCAGAAAUUGGUAACAGACAAAGGCAAUUCCUGCCGUAUUUCUCUUCAAGUGAAGGCUUCUUUAAUAUGUAAGGCUUCUCCAGUCUUCAAAGCUUCUGACUGGGGUGCUGUGAACUGAAGAAGGCCUGAAAUAUUAAUUUCUGUUGAUCUAAACUGCAGACUAGAGUCUGAAGCCAAACUUUGUC